UACGGAGGGUGCAAACGUUGCUCGGAAUCAUUGGGCGUAAAGAGCGUGUAGGCGGUUCGGUAAGUCUGUCGUGAAAUCCUGAGGCUCAACCUUGGACGUGCGAUGGAUACUGCCGGGCUAGAGGAUGGUAGAGGCGAGUGGAAUUCCCGGUGUAGCGGUGAAAAUGCGCAGAUAUCAGGAGGAACACCAAUGGCGAAAGGCAGCUCGCUGGGGACGUGACUGACGCUGAGACGCGAAAAGCGUGGGGGAGCAAAACAGGG
Molecule: ribosomal RNA, 260 nt
Filed under: uncultured bacterium
Lineage: Bacteria
Description: partial 16S ribosomal RNA
Rfam family: Bacterial small subunit ribosomal RNA
Source: RNAcentral